Long non-coding RNA from Ailuropoda melanoleuca (giant panda), 2298 nucleotides. RefSeq lists it as uncharacterized. Lineage: Eukaryota; Metazoa; Chordata; Mammalia; Carnivora; Ursidae. The record is from RefSeq and is a predicted model, not a curated record. The transcript is spliced from 3 exons.
UUGUUUUGAGCUAAGUUUUGGGGUCAUUUGUUGUGCAGUAAUAGGUAACUAUGGUCCCAUGAGCUGUCUGAGAGUAGGACCAGGAAUGAAGGUUUACCUCUCUGCCUCCUCAGGAUCUAGCACAGCGUUGACACAGAGAAAGGCACAGAAAUCUUAGCUGCAGUGAUGGGAAGUCGCUGGCGAAUCCAGGAUUACCCCACUGGGGCAGGAGGCAGAGACAGGCAGGGAGGGAAUGCACAUUCUCCAUUUGAGGAGUGUGCAAAGAAAGGUUUAAUGCAGGACGUCUCUUUCAUUUAGUUCUUAUUUGUCUCCAGGAAUGCCCAGAGCCAUGACAGUGACUCUUGGCCACCUUGAGGACUAAAUACCUGGCAUGUUCAUAUAGUCACUGACAAGUGAGGUUAUUCUGUCCACCCGAGGCUGUGGGUCAGGAUGGGGCAGGUGGUCAGCAUUGUUCUGUGUCAGCAGGAAGAUUCAUGAUAUACACCUGGUGGAGACAUCUCACCCAUGUCUCUAGUUUGCAGCCAGAGAGAAACGCAUGUUCUCACGGCCCUUGCAGAGAGGGGUGACUUGGAAACCUGUACCCCACUUCUCUAAUGUUUGCCCACAGCUACCCUUCCUGCUACUCCUGCACUAUAUCUUUCACUGUAAUAAACCUUAGCCGUGGCCAUAGCUUGUCAAGUCGUAUGAGCCCUUCCAGUGAACCACCAAACUAGUGGGGGAUCUCAGGACCUUUGGAGCAGAGUGGAAUGAUGUUUAGGGGGGAAAAGAGGAGCUUGUUGUUAUAAGAGAAAAGGAAUGGGCUCUAUUCAUCCCUCCCUAAGCUCCAUUAUUUGACAGAAUAGUGGCCCCUCGAAAAAGAUGUCCACAUUAUAAUCCCCAGAACCUGUGAAUAUUUUACCUUUCAUAGCAAAAGGAACUUUACAGCUGUGAUUAACUUAAAGAUCCUGAGAUGGAGAGAUUAUCCUGGAUCAUCCAGUGGGUCCAAUGUUAUCGUAAGGGUUAAUAUAAAACAGAAGUUGGAAGGUCAGAGUCAGAGAAGCAGAUGUGCUGAUGGAAGCCGAGGGUGGGCUGGUGUGGGGCCACAUGCUGGUGGAAUGAGGCAAGGAAGUGGUUUCUGCCCUGGAGCUUCCAGAGGGAACGAAGCCCUGCUGACACCUUGACUUUGGCCCAAUGGAACUAAUUUCGGAUUUCCAACCUCUGGAACUGUAAGACUGGAGUAUGUACCCACUCCUCUGUGUGAUACUAAAAAGGGCAUCCAAGUUGAAGAAGCUUUGAACUGAGCAGGGUGAAAACCUUGGUCACAGCCGGACCAGAAACGAUCCUCCAGGAGGACCUGCACUGUGACUGCAGUGGGGAGGCUCUUCCCACAGGGUGGGGUUGGUGCUGUGGAUCUAUGGGGCCAAGAGCCAAGGACAGCCUGGGAUCCAGUCGGGUGGACCCUGCCGUGGCUGGGCGGGCCCUUGGCACUUGAGGGGACAAGGUGCCAUCAAACUCCCCUGGCGGCUCUGGUUUUGAGUCAGUCUCUUUUUCACUAGGUUCUUGCCCCUUUCCCAAUAACUUUGCAACUGAAAAUGAAGAAGCAGCAGGGGAAGGAAGCACAUAACAAAAUAUGGACAGGAAGUGACAGUAUCGAGGGCUGGAACUCCUAGGCCAGACGUCAGAAGAUAAGGAUCUGAAUGUUCUGGGGCUGGGGAGACAGGACCACUGGUCUGUUUGUAGCUCAGCCCCUCUGCCUCCAGGUGCUUCUGACAGUUGCUGGUGGGGGUGGGCAGGCCAGAGCCCUAUGGGCCUCCUGCUGUCCCCAAGCAGAAUGGCUGUGGGCAUUGGGUUGACACCGGACAGUGGUUCCCAUGUCGCAUAAGCCACGCUGUGGAUGGUGCAGCCUGUGGCCUCCAGCAGUGGUAAGACCCUGGGGCGAUGGAGAUGAGGAAGAGGCUGUGUUUCCUUUGGGAAAGUGAUCUCCCGACUCCUUAGCCACUGAGAUCUUUGUCAGUUUCCUACUUCCUCUACUGGCUUUUCCCUCAAAUCCCAAGGGCUAACAAACUAGACUGGAGUUUGUGGACUUGAUUUGAUGAUGUCUGGUUUCAGGACCUCUCUGUGCCUCUGUCUUCUUACCUAUAAAGUGGGGAUAAUGGUACCUGCCUAACAGCUUUCUUGUGAACUUAAAUAAUUUAGGUGAAGCCAAUACCUGUGUCUUCGAGAAGAAUAUGUUUCUUUCUUUCUUUUUUUUUUUUUAAUUUAUUCGACAGAGAUAGAGACAGCCAGCGAAAGAGGGAACACAAGCAGGGGGAGUGGGAG